AGUGAACGCUGGCGGUAGGCCUAACACAUGCCAGUCGAACGGCAGCACAGUAAGAGCUUGCUCUUACGGGUGGCGAGUGGCGGACGGGUGAGGAAUACAUCGGCAUCUACUUUUUCGUGGGGGAUAACGUAGGGAAACUUACGCUAAUACCGCAUACGACCUACGGGUGAAAGCAGGGGAUCUUCGGACCUUGCGCGAUUGAAUGAGCCGAUGUCGGAUUAGCUAGUUGGCGGGGUAAAGGCCCACCAAGGCGACGAUCCGUAGCUGGUCUGAGAGGAUGAUCAGCCACACUGGAACUGAGACACGGUCCAGACUCCUACGGGAGGCAGCAGUGGGGAAUAUUGGACAAUGGGCGCAAGCCUGAUCCAGCCAUACCGCGUGGGUGAAGAAGGCCUUCGGGUUGUAAAGCCCUUUUGUUGGGAAAGAAAAGCAGCAGGUUAAUACCCCGCUGUUCUGACGGUACCCAAAGAAUAAGCACCGGCUAACUUCGUG
Molecule: ribosomal RNA, 492 nt
Filed under: uncultured bacterium
Lineage: Bacteria
Description: partial 16S ribosomal RNA
Rfam family: Bacterial small subunit ribosomal RNA
Source: RNAcentral